Molecule: ribosomal RNA, 599 nt
Filed under: Microgadus tomcod (Atlantic tomcod)
Lineage: Eukaryota; Metazoa; Chordata; Actinopteri; Gadiformes; Gadidae
Description: partial 12S ribosomal RNA
Rfam family: Bacterial small subunit ribosomal RNA
Source: RNAcentral
CGGCGUAAAGCGUGGUUAAGAAAAUAAGAGAAAAUAUGGCCGAACAGCUUCAAAGCAGUUAUACGCAUUCGAAGCCACGAAGAACAACCACGAAAGUUGCCCUAAGACCUCUGAUUCCACGAAAGCCAUAAAACAAACUGGGAUUAGAUACCCCACUAUGUAUGGUUGUUAACAUCGAUGGUUUUAUACCCAAACCAUCCGCCUGGGGACUACGAGCAAUAGCUUAAAACCCAAAGGACUUGGCGGUGCUUUAGACCCCCCUAGAGGAGCCUGUUCUAGAACUGAUAACCCCCGUUUAACCUCACCAUCCUUUGUCUCCCCCGCCUAUAUACCACCGUCGUCAGCUUACCCUGUGAAGGAAAAAUAGUAAGCAUAAAUGGCAAAGCCAAAAACGUCAGGUCGAGGUGUAGCGAAUGGGAUGGGAAGAAAUGGGCUACAUUCUCUACUACAGAGAAUACGAAUUGUAAUUUGAAAAAAAUUACCUGAAGGAGGAUUUAGCAGUAAGUAAGGACUAGAGUGCCCUACUGAAAACGGCCCUGAAGCGCGCACACACCGCCCGUCACUCUCUCCAAAUAAACCCUGGAUAUUACCUAAAAUGC